Cavia porcellus (domestic guinea pig) is the source of this 5873-nucleotide long non-coding RNA. RefSeq lists it as uncharacterized. The record is from RefSeq and is a predicted model, not a curated record. The transcript has 2 exons. Lineage: Eukaryota; Metazoa; Chordata; Mammalia; Rodentia; Caviidae.
UUUAAGCUCAGCAGCAUCUAACUGUUCCACUCAGGAUGACUUCUGCUGUCUCCCUCUUUAUAUUUUUUUUCCUGCUACCUUGAUUGCAGCUUUGUGUCCUUUCUGCCCUGAUUCGUUGUUAAUUGGCUCUUCCUCCAGAUGGUCACUGCCUAAGGGCGAGUCAUAGGAAAGCUGGUCACUGUCCUCCCUGUCACCUUUGUAGACCUGUGGUAAGUCAGCUCCAGAGCUCACCCUGCACAGAGGCUGGAAAUCACGUAGUGGUUCCCCUGGAGCACCUGUGAGGAAUCGGCAGCUUUGCAGCAGAGAGGAGAUCUAAUGGAUUGCAGAUGCAGGGAGAGUUGAGGCAUGGAAAGGCUGAGGAACUUGCUGGAUGUGGAGAGCUAUGACGUGGUGAUACCACAAGCAGCAGUCAUACAGUGAAGGCAUCGCCUGGGAUCUGUCUCUGACACUGUCUUCCCAGCAGACCUGCCAGUGUUAAGCCUGAGACAUGUGGUGAGCUGGUUGCAAUCCAUUGCAUGCAAAAAUAAAGAGGGCUGGAAGGGGGGAUGGUCGCAUCCCUGAUCCGAGAUGGUGAAGGAGCCCUAGGGAUUGGAUAUACACCACAUUGGCAUCUCCUGACUUAAAAUGAGCUCUGGUUGCUUUGGCUUGGGCAUGGCAGGUGUGUUAGUAAGUUCUGAAUCACUGUAACAAAAUACCCGAGAUAAUUAAUUUACAAAGAGAAACUUUUUAUUUUGGCUCACAAUAUGGGAGUUUGUUUUCACUGUGGGCCUGCAGUGAGGUAGCACAUAGUGGCAGGGUGUGCACCGGAGAAAACUGUUCCCCCCAUGGCCAGAAAAGCAAAACAUCAGGGAGAGGUCAGAGUCCCACCCUCUCCUACAAGAACACCCCUUGUUUAGUUAAAGACACCCCAUGAGGAUCUACUUCUUCAGGGUUCCACCACUUCCGAGUCCUGCCACCUGGCAUGACAAUCCUUUAAGACACGGGGUUUGGGAGAUAUUAAAGUUCCAAUCCCUAGCAGCUGCUAUCAGCAUGGAGCUGGUAUCAACGGCAGAGCUACGACUUUUCCUAUCAGUACUGAUGAGACCCAUCUCUACUGUGGUGUGGAACAGGCAGGAGGAAAAUGACCAUCACCACUGCCAAGAGAUUAGCUUGAAAAUCUAUGACAUGCUUCUGGAAAUUCCUGGAAAUGUCUAGAAGGAAUUCAGGGAGGCUGCAGUGAUUACAGAACAUGUUUCUAUGGAAUUUAGAAAACACUCUGCCUCUGAUCUCACUGCGGUGCUGGUGAGGCUGAAUUUAUUUACACUCAACCGUAAACCUAGGUUUUAUAGAGCUGGAAGGUUAUACAAGUUUGAUCCUUCAUCAGGGAUCAAGAAUUACAGGUGCAAAAUUAGGAUCAGGACCUUGGAAGAGACUCAGGCAUGUGGUUUCAUUUAUUUCAAUAUAUUCACCUCUGCGAAAGUUAGAAAUGUUGCUGGGUGCGGUGAUGCAUACCUAUAAUCCCAGGACCAGGGAAGCUGAGGCAGAAGGAUCCCCAUGAGUUCAAGGCCAGCCCGGGCUACAUAAUGAGUGAGACUCUGUCUCAAAAAUAAAACAAAACAAACAAGAAAGAAAUGUCAGCAAUAGUUACUCAAAGGUAUCCCACAUCAUAGAUUGCUUAACCCAUUUGUUCAACUAUGGGUUUUUAAAGGAUCUCAUUCUGAGAAAAUAAAUAAAUAAGUAAACAAACAAAUAUAACAUUGCAUGAGUCCGAUUUGCAAAUGGAGUACUCUCUCCUAAAGCUCUAGCAUCCUGCAUAGUGUGGGAAGGAAUUUAACAGCCACCCCCAAUGGACUUGUGUCCCUAACAUCACCUUUCAAUUGAGAGUACAGACUCUACCUAAGAGCAGAGGGAAGAUCAGCCUAGAGAAAACACAGUAUCCGAUGCUUUGAUGCAUAGUGCAUUUAGAGACUCAAAGCAAAUUCUCCAAAAGGACGACAUGAAAAAGCACUAAAAAAGAUGACCUUCUCCAGAUGCUGUGUUCUUUAUAGCUUUCAUCUCUCAUUGAAGAGGCCAAAGUUGAAGAAACUCUCCACUGAAUAUAACCUGCGGUCUACAGCCAUAAGAAUUCUGAUUUGGCAACUGCAAUCAAACAGCUACAGGCAAUAUGAAUUGUUAGGCAAUUGUAAAUGUAAAUGGAUCUUUGAUCACAUGUGCAUGCCACUCAAGUAAAGAAGAAACUGUAACCCUGGAUUUCUGGACUUUUUUCCUAUAUAGUAGUUUCUCAGUCUUGCUACUAAGGCCCUCAAAUUUUCAAUUCAUUCAUAUUGUGAACCAGGAGGUAACUGAAGCUAAGUUACAUUUCUUCUUAGGUUCUGCUUCUGGACUCAUUUCAAUCCAACCUCCAUUUUUGUUGCCUGAGUAAUGUGAUUGUUCUGUCCUUCCACUUAAAUCCUUUGGCAGUGCCCCACUGGCUAUGGAGUGUGGUGCGGUCUCAGUACAACCUUCAGGAUUGUAGGUGGGGACCAGCCCAUCCUCUGACACACAUCCAUGGAAUUCCUGCCUGUUCUUGCUGAGUGACCUCCAGCUCCCCACCAAGGUUCUCAGAUAGCCGCUGGGACCAGAAUGCUCUUUCCCAGCUCCUAGCAAACCACCCCUCACUUUUUCCAGCAGCUCGUGUAACUCUUGCUAAAGCUUUUCCAGAGCAAUGAUCUCACGCUCAUGCUAGCCCUCCUUUCUCUCUGCCGAGGACCUCUGAGCCCCUGAGCCCUAUAUAUAUCUGUGUAUUUGGCAAUCUCUCCCUUGUAGUACGUAACAUCGUAAAAACAGAAGAGAUCUAAGGCCACGCCUUAUGUCACGUUCCUUUCUGCACUGUCACUGCUUAUUUCGGUGCUGACUACCUACUAAACCUUCAAUGAGUCCGUGAGGAAUGAGUGGGAAUGUAACUUUAAGAUAAACUGUAUCUUCCUCCAAUGUCCAAAGAGCAUUCCUCUGGGUAUCAGCCAAAUGCCACUCUAGGUAGACUAACACCCACUCCUGCCCAGCUCACCUUUCAUACUGCCUUCUAGUUAAACAGUGUUCUUGUUUAAAUUUUCUCUCUAUCCUGAUGCUCCCCACAGAAUGUAAGCACUGUGAAAUUGAAGAAGAGGAAGAAAAGGAUGGUUUGUUAUGCUCUGGUCCUAGCCCUGAGAACAAUGGUUGAAAGUCUGAGUGUUUUUCUCGGGUUUUUUUGGGGUCAGGGUUGUACUGGGAAUUGAACUCAGGACCUUGUGCUUGUCAGGCAGACACACAUGCUGCUGAGCUAUAACCUGAGCCCCAUCUGAGCAUCUUUACAGACUGAUUCCAAGAUUGUCACCCAUGAUAACAAGUCUGAAUUAAAGUCAUGUAGGAAUAAGUUUGCCAGAUAUAGCAAAUGAAGAUACAAGAUAUUCAAUUAAAUUUGAAGAGCUAGUAAAUAAUUAAUACUAUUUCAGCAUAAGGAUGUCUCACAGGAGUUUUGUGCUAUGGUUAUGCUAAAAAUUAUUUAUUGUUUAUGUGGAAUGCAAAUUUAGCUGUGUACCUUGUAUUUUAUUUGGGAAUUCUUAGAGGGGCUUUUUUCUGAAUAUCAUAUAAGUUCUCAGAAAUUCUGAAAGUUUCUAAGCUAACAACCAUGUUUAUUUCACUCUGGCUCUCAGUGGGUAGGAUUGUUUCAUAACCUGCAAACGUAUUACAGUGGAAAAUAACACUAUUUUUAAAAAAUUUUACCAACACAAAAGCAGAGGAUCAAGAAAAGGACGGGAGCACCAAUCUGAGGGAAUUUAGUGGCUUUCCUGAUGCCAGCCACUGUUCCAUGCAUGUGUCAUCAUGAGUGAUUGGCUGCAAGGUAAGAGUUGUCCUAAUUUCCAUGGAGAAAGGAAAUUAACGGUGACAAAGCAUGGGAAAUGCUCAGCUGUUCAAUGCUAGUUCCAAAUUUGAUGAGGCCCAGAAAGAUGAGGCUGCAGGUGAGUUCAGCUGUGUGGAGGGCAAGGGCAGGGAACUACAGAGAUGCAGGCCUGCUGGGGAAUGGCCACCUCAGCCUGGUGGCUGACACAUGCUUCUCCCGGAGGGGAAGAGAGCCUGCCAUGCACUUCCCUGGGGGGGGGGGGCAGAGGGCAUGUGAAAGUAGUAGGGAGUGGUGGGCACACAUGUGUGGCAUGCACAUGUAUGAGACACGGCAGGAAAAAAUUACUCCUGGGCUGCAGUAGCGGGAGCAGGUUCUAGAAGUCUGGUUAGCUCCCCGAGCCUUCUGCUCUGAGCCUUCCAGAGACUGACUCGGAAGCAGGAGGCUGAGUUUUCUCGGAAGGAUUCACUUCCAGGGUGAUUCCAGUUGCUGACCACACGCAGUUCCAUACAGCUGUCCCACUGAGGCCCCAUUUUCCUGCAGGCUGCCGGCAGGGUGUGGGGUGUUGUUUCCAGCAGCUGCAGGCUGCCCUCCUUUCCUGGCUUAUGCACCCUUUUCUUCAGCUGAGUGAUUGAGCCUUUUCUGUGCUUUGGUUCUCUGCCCUCCGCUUCGGCUUCAUCGCUCCUGCCUCUUCUGUGUGCUCCGUGGAUACUUCGUCCCUGGUCCUGCCAUCCGAGACUGUAUAUUUCUGUUAAGGUCCAGAAGCUUAAUUCCCUCCACUGUGGGAUGGAAUGUACUCACAGACAUCGCAUCAGGGAGUAAGACCAGAGAGGCCAAAAUUCAGCUUCCUGCUGUUACCUUAGGGAGAGGGAGGGAGUGGGCGAGACUGCGGGAAGUAACCUUGAAUGAUGCAGGAGGAAACUCAUCUCUCUCCCUCUCUCCUCUCUCUCUCUCUUUCUGUCUGUCUGUCUCUCUCUCUCUGGCUUUCCCUCACCACUCACCUUUCUUGUUUCUGUUUCUCUGCAGAAUUCUAACUUCAUCCAUGGAUGCCCAGCACUUCCACUUCAGGAUUCAAAGCCGGGAGCUCCAGUGGUACAAUCCAGUGGCGGUUCUUACGCAGGACUCGAAACGGGUCUGGAAGAGGUCCCUUGAACACCCGUGUUCCUAGCAGUGUUACCACAAUAGACGAGAGCCGGGAGCAAGAUGAGUGCCCGUCGGUGGUGAGGACGUAGGCCAAAGGUGUACACAUGGAGUGCCACUCAGCCUUCCUAAGGAGGGAAGCUGUGUCACACAUUACAGCACUGAUGAACCUUCUAGAUAAUAUGUCACAUGAAAUAAGCCAGAUGCAAAAGGAUAAAUGGUGUAAGAUUCUUUGCAACCGAAACAGAAACACUAGUGCCUCUCAAUCUCACUGGCUAAAGUGAAGCUACAGGUGGGCUCUGUCUGCCAGUGGCUUCCCCAGCAUAAAUAUUACAGGGCUUUGCUCUUUUUAAAUUUUUGGUACUGGGGAUCAAACUCACGACCUCGUGCUUACCAGGCAGGUGCUUGUACCGCUGAGCUAAAUCCCCGGUCCCUCAGUGUUUUGCUUAUAGAGCAGGAGUUAACUCAUUUAAGUCCCAUGUGUGUGACAAAUCUGUCCAUGCCUUGGACUUCAGAUGAGGUUCCAGAAGAAUCCACUUGCUCAGCUGGCUGGCAGUGAGAAUGUCCAGUGCUUUCAGGCGCCCCAUCCUGUGCCACGGUGAGUCAGCCUUGUUCCAUGGCCCCAGCGGGAAAACUACUACUCAAUGCAAACAGUCUAAGCAGGGCACAUCCUGGUCAUUCGUACUGCAUCGUGUUUAGGAUGGGAACGUCAGUUCUCUUUUUCUUCAUCUAAGUUGAGAUGCUGUGAGCCUGUCCAGUUCAUCUUGCAUUUUUGCUUUAGUUCUUGUCUGUAACAAAAUGUGAAAAAUAUGUAUAUGUAGGAUGAUCAAAAAUACAGUGUAUGUUUAAAUACAAAGUUAUUGUAAUAAAAGACACAUUGUCAUUCACCCCCUUUAAA